CAAUGUUGCAAGAGUUCCUUUUUAUGUUACAUGUUCCAACAGGUUGGCUUGUAGUGAAGUGCGAGAAUUUGAUUAUCAGGUGGGUUCUACUCGAGAUGUAGAUGUCAAAGAUGUUUAUGGUGCUAGUACCAACAAAAUGCUUCUGCAUCUGCGACUUGAGAGGUUACUGUUUGUAAGAGCUUCCAGUCCUCCAGAUCAUCUCUUUGAUGGUGCUAGAGGGAAACAGA
Molecule: unclassified non-coding RNA, 227 nt
Filed under: Hevea brasiliensis (rubber tree)
Lineage: Eukaryota; Viridiplantae; Streptophyta; Magnoliopsida; Malpighiales; Euphorbiaceae
Source: RNAcentral